GAUCCUGGCUCGGGAUGAACGCUGGCGGCGCGCCUAACACAUGCAAGUCGAACGGCACCCACCCUCGGGUGGAAGCGAGUGGCGAACGGCUGAGUAACACGUGGAGAACCUGCCCCCUCCCCCGGGAUAGCCGCCCGAAAGGACGGGUAAUACCGGAUACCCCGGGGGUGCCGCAUGGCACCCCGGCUAAAGCCCCGACGGGAGGGGAUGGCUCCGCGGCCCAUCAGGUAGACGGCGGGGUGACGGCCCACCGUGCCGACAACGGGUAGCCGGGUUGAGAG
This 281-nucleotide ribosomal RNA is filed under the name uncultured bacterium. Its description in RNAcentral is "partial 16S ribosomal RNA". It matches the Rfam family "Bacterial small subunit ribosomal RNA", at positions 15 to 298 of the family's 1533-position model. The record is from RNAcentral.